This 689-nucleotide ribosomal RNA is filed under the name Asaia sp. AR2. RNAcentral describes it as "bacterial SSU rRNA". It matches the Rfam family "Bacterial small subunit ribosomal RNA", at positions 55 to 789 of the family's 1533-position model. Lineage: Bacteria; Pseudomonadati; Pseudomonadota; Alphaproteobacteria; Acetobacterales; Acetobacteraceae. The record is from RNAcentral.
AUGCAGUCGCACGGACCUUUCGGGGUGAGUGGCGGACGGGUGAGUAACGCGUAGGGAUCUAUCCAUGGGUGGGGGAUAACACCGGGAAACUGGUGCUAAUACCGCAUGAUACCUGAGGGUCAAAGGCGCAAGUCGCCUGUGGAGGAGCCUGCGUUCGAUUAGCUUGUUGGUGGGGUAAAGGCCUACCAAGGCGAUGAUCGAUAGCUGGUCUGAGAGGAUGAUCAGCCACACUGGGACUGAGACACGGCCCAGACUCCUACGGGAGGCAGCAGUGGGGAAUAUUGGACAAUGGGCGAAAGCCUGAUCCAGCAAUGCCGCGUGUGUGAAGAAGGUCUUCGGAUUGUAAAGCACUUUCGACGGGGACGAUGAUGACGGUACCCGUAGAAGAAGCCCCGGCUAACUUCGUGCCAGCAGCCGCGGUAAUACGAAGGGGGCUAGCGUUGCUCGGAAUGACUGGGCGUAAAGGGCGCGUAGGCGGUUCAUACAGUCAGAUGUGAAAUUCCAGGGCUUAACCUUGGGGCUGCAUUUGAUACGUAUGGACUAGAGUGUGAGAGAGGGUUGUGGAAUUCCCAGUGUAGAGGUGAAAUUCGUAGAUAUUGGGAAGAACACCGGUGGCGAAGGCGGCAACCUGGCUCAUUACUGACGCUGAGGCGCGAAAGCGUGGGGAGCAAACAGGAUUAGAUACCCUG